ACGGAAGGCAGCAGUAGGGAAUAUUGCACAAUGGGGGAAACCCUGAUGCAGCGACGCCGCGUGAGUGAUGAAGUAUUUCGGUACGUAAAGCUCUAUCAGCAGGGAAGAUAAUGACGGUACCUGACUAAGAAGCCCCGGCUAACUACGUGCCAGCAGCCGCGGUAAUACGUAGGGGGCAAGCGUUAUCCGGAUUUACUGGGUGUAAAGGGAGCGUAGACGGCAAGGCAAGUCUGAUGUGAAAUCCCGGGGCUCAACCCCGGUACUGCAUUGGAAACUGUCUAGCUAGAGUGCAGGAGAGGUAAGUGGAAUUCCUAGUGUAGCGGUGAAAUGCGUAGAUAUUAGGAGGAACACCAGUGGCGAAGGCGGCUUACUGGACUGUAACUGACGUUGAGGCUCGAAAGCGUGGGGAGCAAACAGGAUUAGAUACCCUGGUA
This 434-nucleotide ribosomal RNA is filed under the name uncultured Lachnospiraceae bacterium. Its description in RNAcentral is "bacterial SSU rRNA". It matches the Rfam family "Bacterial small subunit ribosomal RNA", at positions 341 to 792 of the family's 1533-position model. The record is from RNAcentral. Lineage: Bacteria; Bacillati; Bacillota; Clostridia; Lachnospirales; Lachnospiraceae.